Salvelinus fontinalis (brook trout) is the source of this 7545-nucleotide long non-coding RNA. RefSeq lists it as uncharacterized. NCBI's taxonomy places the organism in Eukaryota, Metazoa, Chordata, Actinopteri, Salmoniformes, Salmonidae. The transcript is spliced from 3 exons. The record is from RefSeq and is a predicted model, not a curated record.
CUUACCGCACUCACUGCCUGUAGGCUAUUUAAUAUUGAUGCUUUGCUUGGGGAGUGAGCUACCUUGAAGGAGCAGAGUCUAUACCGCGAAGACUUGCAUUAUUCAUUGCUUAAUACAUGGUUAAAUGUAUUUCUACGUACCGUUUUCUUUCUGAACUGGUUUUAAAGGCCAUUCUAGAAUUCAACAAUGCUGUGGUAUAAAUAUACUUAUAACUUAACACGAACAGAACGUCAAUAGAGGAGAGAAGACAUAGGGUGGUCUCUCAUCCAGAGCAGCCUGAUGGAAUACCCUUUAAGAUCAAAUACCGGGAGGGAGCAGAUUAGGAGAUUCUGGUUCUCUGAAUCCAUUCAGAUGAUGUUUGAUUUUGUGGGGGAGGAUGAUGCCGCGAGUGAGGUUUUUACCCUCCAGGCAGCAGCGGACUUCGCAACCCUGAAGAGCACGAUUAACGGGUCAUUGGAGGAGCAUGACAUUCGGGAGUCAACAACACUUUAUGUGUAGGUGAAUAUAUUUGAUGUUUGUAUCUGACUACAGUUGAGCUACUUGAUAGUUGUAACCAGGGUUGGGGAGUAACAUGUAAUCCGUUACAUGUAAGAGAUUACAAAAACAGUAACUGUAAUCAGUUACGUUACCAGCGAAAAUAUUGUAAUCAGAUUACAGAUACUUUUGAAAAACUAGAUGAUUACUUGGAUUACUUUUCAAUUCAGAAAGGAUGUUUGCAAAAAAAUAUCUUUGACUCUUCUCUGUUUUCUCAAUGACAUUCAAAUGUGUUUGAUGGAUCGCUGGAAAAAAGACUUAUAGGCUUUUGUAGGCUACUGUCCAAACUAUGUCUUCCAAUGGUGCGACUGCUGUCGGCAUCCAAAGAUUAUCCAACUUGAAUAAACGCUUGGCGGGUAAGGAUUACAGCAGUGGUGGAGUCUACGGCGAUAUGGAUAUCACUUAUUAUUGAUAUCUACAUAGCGCAUUGAUGUGAAUCACACUGCUACUCUCUCAAUUAGCUAUUUGCGCCUUACGGAUUGUGGUUGUUGUGGAUGAUCUAAAAUCUAAAUGUGUAUUUGAACCCAAUAAUGGUUGAAUUCAAAAAGUUUAAGCUGCCUAUCAAUCAUUGUUUUUGGAACCAGUGGACAGCCAGUGAAAAAUGCGCUCUUGCAACAGCUGCAUAGUGUGGAUCCCAGCCUAUGGAAUAAAAGUGUGGCUUUUAAUGCUCAAUCUAAUUCAUGCUGAUUUUUUUUUAAAUAAAAAAAUCCAUAGGCCUAAUGAACACAUGCUCAAACUCGCACACGUUUGAUAGACUUAAUGAGGCAAUUCUUUGACUUAUAAAUUAUAUAUAUUAAUAUAUAGAUAUAAUUUAAUCGUAUUUUUAUAUGUAGUAAAAGCAAGGGGUUAGAAGAAGCCUACAUAACCAACCCAUUAAGUCAAAUUUAACAUCCACGUUGGUUAAUGUGUACUGUCCCUUUAAAAAAUCAAAUAAACUCAAACAUAUAAGGCCAGCUAUCUAAACUUUAACAUUGAUUUAUCCUGCAAUAUGGUAGAUGUUGUUCAAUUGGUAACAUACAUUUUUGUCUCCUUCAAAUAGCUCUUAAGGGGAAAGUAAUCUAAAAGUAACGGAAUGUAAUCAGAUUACGUUACUAAAUUUGCCUAAUCAAAAAGUAACAUUACUGAUUACAAUGUUGGACAGGUAACUAGUAACUAACGGAUUACAUUUAGAAAGUAACCUACCCAACCCUGGUUAUAACAUUUGUGUGUGGUUGUUUCUGUCCAUUUACAGGCAAUCCUAUUGCCUCAUCUCUCACCUGCCCCCCUCUCAACACCUCUCACCUGUGCUCUCUUCUUGCCUCUCACCUGUCGUCUAACCUGUCCCCUCUCCUCACCUCUCGCCAGCCUCCUCUCCAAUCACCUCCUUCAUCACCAAACUUUCCUUCUCAUCACCCCUCACCCUUAACGUCCUCACUCUUUUCUUCCUUUCACCCCUCACCUCUUACUCACUUUCUCCUUCGCCCUCACCUUCACCUCCCUUGUCUCCAUCAUCAGAUCCACAGACUAAGUUAGUUUUUUUUAAGAGCAAAAUGUAGUAUUUAAAAUCUCAAUGUCAGAGUUGUCUCCCUUAGGAUCAGGACAACUGCCCCAUCGCCAACAUGAUGAAUGUCCACAGGGGCAACGUCCUAAACAGUAGCCUCCACAGGGGCUACAAUAGACGUUACCUUUGUGGACGUUGAGUCCACGGCGGAGGGGGCAGUUGACCAAGGGCGUCCCUCCAGGGAGUAUUACAGGUUCCUCAUGAGGAACAUCAGGGACUCGGCCAUCUUCGAGAGUCUGGAAGGAGUGAAACGGCUAUCCCUCGAUGUCCAUGGUAAGCCUUCUUUUUUCUUUUUAGCCGUAUUAAGGUCUGAUUUUCAUGUAAAAUACAGAAUGUAAGCCAAAACAAUUAGCAUCACGAGGGCCUGUAUGGAAGCAUUGGGAAAAUGGUCAGUGUUUGUGUGGUCCAUGGAUGGGUUGGGCCACACUUCUUCUCUGAGUGACUCAUUGCUGCAGUGUGUGGGAAGCCUGCUCCUCCACUCAGUCUGGAGGAGGUGAGCCACACUACGCUGGAAGCAAAUUUGGGAAAUGUAAGUUUUAUGUCCUCCCUAACAGCAAAAGGAAAUAAUAGAUCAUGCUUUUUUCCAUGUAUGGUUUCUUUUGCUGUGUUUAAAAUUCUCGAUUGCCUGUUAUGCAUUUUUUUGAAAUUCUAGUUCAAAUAAGCAGAGGACCUGUCAGAGGUAAAGAAUAAGUUGGAGGAAUCGGUAGACUGGCUGAGCCUACUGGGGCUGAAAAGGAUUGUUAUCAAGUGUGGUUGAAAUGGUGGCUCAACAAUUUGUCCAAGGGAGCAUGCAGAUGGCCUUGGAGCAGCAUUGGGAACCACCCGGACAGCUUCCGAGCACUUUUUGUGGACUCCGUAAAGCUUCCCACUGCCAGGGACCCGAGGGACCUGUUUAAAGUAACCUAUUCCAUAUCUGGCGGCAACCGGCGGUGGUUGGAGAACGAUGCCAUCUGUCACUGGUUCAACUGGCUGGCCGAUAGUAGUUAAAUUGUUCAAGUUUAUCACUAACUGCAUAUUAUUCCAUUUGUGAUUUAAAUGUUUAUUUUAAAUGUUUUACUGUGUACUCUUUAGAUGGAGAAUGUCCACCUCUAACAGUGGCGAUGGUGUUGGCAUUUGCUCCUGGGGCAACAGUGGUGACACCCCGACCAUCAAAUUCCUCCACACAGCACAAGGGAGUCUUGCUGGGCAGCAGAAGAAAAAGUACCCAGAGGCAAACACAUGUGCUGUGACACUAAGGCUCCCUCUUCUUAGCACCUACAAUGCCUUUAGGGAUUACAUGGUCUCCGGUAUUGUGAAUUCCCCACAAUUCGGUGUUGCAUAAACACACCUUAGUGGAGAGUGACACAAUAGUUAGAACAUUAGAGGGUGAACGACUUGUAUUCACAAGUCUGUGAGACUUGUUCUGCCUUCCUUCUCCCACCGUUUCAUAUAUGUACUAGCUAUGUACUGAAGAGUUGUACAUUUCCGCCCCUGUUCUUUGAAUGUCGUAAUGUACCUCUUUUCUGCCCACUUGUCAGACUAAUGGAGACAAGUGAGCAGAUAUAUUUUGCAGCUUAAUUCAUUGUUUUUCAAAAAACAUUUAAGCAUUUAUCUAUUUACCGUCUAUGUAUUGUUAGUACAAUGCGUUUAGAAAGUAUUCAGACCCCUCUUAUUUUUCCACAUUUUAUUACGUUACAGCCUUAUUCUAAAAUAUAUAUAUUUUUUAAACUCCCUCAUCAAUUUACACACAAUACCCUAUAUUGACAAAGCAAAAACUGGUUUGUGGACAUUUUUGCAAAUGUAAACAUACAAAACAGAAAUACCUAGUUUACAUAAGUAUUCAGACCUUUUACUCAGUACUUUGUUGAAGCUCUUUUGGCAACGAUUACAGCCUCAAGUCCUUUUGGGUAUGACGCUACAUUUUUAUUUAUUUAAUACAUUUUAGAAUAAGGCUGUAACAUGACAAAAUGUGUAUAAAGUCAAGGGGUCUGAAUACUUUCUGAAUGCACUGUAUGUCCGUAUUGGCUGUUAAUGUUCACGUAAUGAUCAUUAAUAUUACAUUAAUUAUACAGUCCAUAUUGUUUGUCUUGGUGUUUUAUGGUUAAAUUUUUCAGAAACAUUUUACUGACACUUCACUAAUAACCAAAAUCAUUUGCUGAUAUUGACUGAAGUACUGCUGCCAUAUUGCAGCCAACUCAUCCAAAUCUGAUAAUUUGAUGUCCUACAUUUAAGAACAAAUUAACUUAAACCAUUAUCAUUUAAUUAGAACUACAUGCAAUGAUGACAUUUCCCAUCCAUUGCAUUAAGUAACAGCUCCACUUCUGGGAACUGCACCUUCGUAGUGACUUAUCCAAUUCCAAAUGCAUUGAUCUAAGAACUAGAUCAAUUAGUCCAAGGCUCUCUAACCCUGUUCCCGGAGAGCUACCCUCCUGUAGGUUUUCAAUCCAACCUCAGUUGUAACUAACCUGAAUAAUUUAUUAACCAAGUAAUAUUAAAAUCAGGUGUGCUGGAUUAGGGUUGGAAUGAAAACCUACAAACUCUACAGGAACAGGGUUGGAGAGCCCUGCACUAGUCUUCAACCACAUUAUUCAAACUGUCACAAUGUGUCAACAAUGUUAUGUUACUAACUAUAAUAGGCUGCUGUUAAUCACAAUUAUAUACAAUUAAAAUGUAACUGGGGCCGCACCACCGGUCCAGUAGAAUCCCUAUCUUCAUCAGUUAACUGUAGGGCAUUCCACACAAUUAUUUAUUUUAACAAUUUAUAAAAGUCCCAAUUGGCCAUUACAAAAGAUAAUGUUUGUUUUAAUAUUGUCCAUUCAGAAUGUUCUGCUGCCCUCCCACGGCAUGCGCACUCUGAAGGCUCCAAUCCAGUGCUUGCAGUAGGCCUCUCCUGGGUCGUGUUGUACUGAAGUGGAAGACAAAUAGUAUCAGCAGUAUCAGCAGAUGGGGCUGUUUUGCUAAAGCGCCAUAGAGCAAAAUACAAUUAACCUCAACCAUAGGCCGUAUAUGUUAAAAGUACCUGACUCUCUCCAAAUAUGACCAAACAAAAUCGUAAAGGAAGGGAGAGGUACUUAACUAUGGUCCCCAUCCGUUUAGAAUAGAAGGUGUCCGUCGUACCUUUCUGAAGACCGAAUCAUACAGUGUGUGAAAUACGGGGGAGGGUGAAAGGGGUUUCCAAAAGCAGGAUAUGGUAAUGGCAAAGAAAAAAACUAUAAUGAAUAAUAGUAGAUAAAUCCACUACUCAACAGGGAAAUAAACAAAGCAUGAUAAUGUCAUUCAAAAUCAAAGGUCAAUUGAGAGGCGGGGUAUGUGUUGAAUGGAGAAGAAUAAAAUGAAUUGAUUCAACAGAACGAGUGGCACUGAAGAUAUAGCGUCCAAUCCCUCGUUCCAAUAGGGGAGUAUCAGGGGUGUAGUAAGUCAGGUCGGAGUAGGAACGAGUGGCGCUGAAGAUAUAACUCCCAUAACCCUCUGUAGAAUGUCAACUCCCAGGCUGCCUCUGGGGCCUUCAAAUGGAUGUAUUGUCCGCAACAGUUCCAUCUGUGUGUUGCUGAUGGUGAACUGGAUUUCUGGCACAAUCACCCCUUCCGACCAAUAAAGAGCUGCAGUGAUAGUGGUUGGAGGAGCUAAAGUGGUGGUUGUAGGAGCUGAGGUGGUGGUGGCUUAAGAAGGGAUGGUGGUUAAAGCUGGAGCGAACAAAUCCCUUAUUGCUGUCAGAUCGGCCCUCUGCAUUGCCACGGAACCUGAGACGAACAACUGCAGAGGUGACUGGGGAUUCCACUGACUGGCGAACACAGCAAGAUCUCUGUUCACCCGUGGCAGGAACACAAAGUGCAGUGCCUCCAUCUCCAAGAAGGUGAACAGGUCAUGGUAAACGUUGGAGACUCCAUGCCAGAAGUCCCCACACAGCCGCUCUAUCCUCUGGUUGUGAGUGCUCCUUCCCCUGCGGACACUUCCCCUCUCACCACCCCUGACCUGCUCCAUGAAGGCACAGGUACGGUUGUUUUCACCACCCGGUCACAUCUCACCCGGGAUGGUACUCUGUAGCUGGUGAUGGCUGCUUCGAAUGACUCCAUGACUGUGGCACUCCUGUUGUUGUCAGAGGCCUUCAGAAACACAACAAGACCCACAACGACCCUCCACCUAAAAAACAAGAUACAUUUGUUUUACAAAUAUUUAUUUUCUCUUAUAGUGACGCCAUGCAGUUUUUAUUAUUGAUAACAUUAUUACAGUUACAGUGCCUUAAACACUUAUUGCACACAGUGUGAGUCAAUGCAACUUAUGUGACACAUUUUUAUUCCUGAACAUAUUUUGGCUUGCCAUAACCAAGGAGUUGAAUACUUAUUGACUCAAGAUACUUUGCCAUUAUGGGGUAUUGUGUGUAGGCCAGUGACAAAGUCUCAAUUUAAUCCAUUUUAAAUUAGGUGUCCUGGAGGGCAGGUAGUUUGCCCCCGGUGAUGCGUUGUGCAGACUGCACCACCCUCUGGAGAGCCUUGGGUUGAGGGCGGUGCAGUUGCCGUACCAGGCAGUGAUACAGCCUGACAGGAUGCUCUCAAUUGUGCAUUUGUAAAAGUUUGUCAGGGGUUAAGGUGACACAUUUCUUCAGCUUCCUGGGUUGAAGAGGCGUUGUUGCGCCUUCUUCACCACACUGUCUGUGUGGGUGGACCAUUUCAGUUUGUCUGUGAUGUGUACACAGAGGAUCUUAAAACUUUCCACCUUCUCUACUACUGUCCCGUUAAUGUGGAUGGGGGGGUCUCCCUCUGCUGUUUCCUGAAGUCCACGAUCAUCUCCUUUGUUUUGACGUUGAGAGAGAGGUUGUUUUCCUGACACCACACUCAGAGUGCCCUCACCUCCUCUCUUUAGGCUGUCUCGUCGUUGUUGGUAGUCAAGCCAACACUGUUGGUGGAAAAUACUUAUAUUAUACUUAUUUUCCACCAUAAUUUGCAAAUAAAUUCAUUCAAAAUCCUACAAUGUGAUUUUCUGGAUUUUUUUUUCUCAUUUUGUCUGUCAUAGUUGAAGUGUACCUAUGAUGAAAAUUACAGGCCUCUCUCAUCUUUUUAAGUGGGAGAACUUGCACAAUUGGUGGCUGACUAAAUAGUUUUUUGCCCCACUGUAUGGUUUCCAGUUUACAUAGAGUCCACCGUAGGCAGACUACCUUCCUUGAGGGCCGUUGUGGUAUAAGCUUGAGGGGGGAUAUACACGGCUAUGACAAUAACUGACGAGAAUUCUCUUGGGAGAUAAUAAUGUCGGCAUUUGACUGUAAGAAAAUCUUGGUCAGGUGAACAAAAGGACUUGAGUUCCUAUAUAUUGUUAUGAUUACACCAUGAGUUGUUAAUCAUGAAGCACACACUGCCGGUGGAAGAAACCCGGUGACUGUACCGACUCUGAUAACAUAUCCCGAGAGAGCCAUGUUUCUGUGAAACAGAGAAUGUUACAUUCUCUGAAAGGCAACCCUUGCCCUAAUUUCGUCCAUCUUGUUGUCUAGAGACUGGACU